AUAAUUUUGUGUCUUGAUAAGGUAGGAAUAUGGCUGGGACCAUCCCUGACUCUCUUUUUUCCUUGAAUGUGAACACAUGAGUGAAGCAUACAUCCAUUGUCCAUGGAGCAAGAAACAUGAGGAUGAAAAGCCAAUAUGUUAAGGAUGUGAAGUGAAAAGCGGGAAGAGCUUCUUAUUCAUGUUAUCACUGAGCAGCGGGAACUGGGGGCUCUGCUCAUUAUAGUUGCCUACGGCCUCCAGCCAUUGAAAUCUCUGGCCAAUGAAAUGCUCUACUGUGACUGAAGCAGCAAAGGCAAGAUGUUCUGCUGGAGGCCUCUCCAGAUUGUGAUGCACUGGGAGCAAGCGACCAUGACCAUGUUCUCAGGUCUCCAGUCUUCUGCCAUUGCAUGAUAAAUGGAGCUUGUCAAACACGGAGCAGAGCUGAAAUUUCUGAAUUCCACAGGACUGUUCAGAGUGCUUGAAAUGACACCUACCCACAAUUAAAACAAAAAAGAAGGAUGAUCUGCUGCUGCAUUUGUGUGGAAAGUGCUGUUUGCCGAUAGGGAAGUAGGAGAGGAAAUAAGGAAAACAAUAAACCAAGUACAGUUUUGCAAAUACCCAGACACAUUGGAUGGACACAGAAGCUUUCACUGGGAGAUUAUGAAGGGUAGAUGCUUUGUGUCUCCAUUGCCUCCUGUGUCUCCAUUGUGUCUCCAUUGCCUCCUGUGAUGU
This 711-nucleotide long non-coding RNA is filed under the name Pongo abelii (Sumatran orangutan). RNAcentral describes it as "lincRNA". Lineage: Eukaryota; Metazoa; Chordata; Mammalia; Primates; Hominidae. The record is from RNAcentral.